CUAGCGACUUCGAGUUUGAUCCUGGCUCAGGACGAACGCUGGCGGCGUGCCUAACACAUGCAAGUCGAACGGAGCACUUCGGUGCUUAGUGGCGAACGGGUGAGUAACGCGUGAGAAACCUGCCUUUCAGUGGGGGACAACAGUUGGAAACGACUGCUAAUACCGCAUAAUGUUUCGAGAGGGCAUCCUCUUGAAACCAAAGCUUUAUGUGCUGAAAGAUGGUCUCGCGUCUGAUUAGCUAGAUGGCGGGGUAACGGCCCACCAUGGCGACGAUCAGUAGCCGGUCUGAGAGGAUGAACGGCCACAUUGGGACUGAGAUACGGCCCAG
RNAcentral lists this ribosomal RNA (328 nucleotides) under uncultured bacterium. Its description in RNAcentral is "bacterial SSU rRNA". It matches the Rfam family "Bacterial small subunit ribosomal RNA", at positions 1 to 334 of the family's 1533-position model. The record is from RNAcentral.